This 764-nucleotide ribosomal RNA is filed under the name uncultured bacterium. RNAcentral's name for it is "bacterial SSU rRNA". It matches the Rfam family "Bacterial small subunit ribosomal RNA", at positions 51 to 802 of the family's 1533-position model. The record is from RNAcentral.
ACACAUGCAAGUCGAGGGGAAACGACAUCGAAAGCUUGCUUUUGAUGGGCGUCGACCGGCGCACGGGUGAGUAACGCGUAUCCAACCUGCCCACCACUUGGGGAUAACCUUGCGAAAGUAAGACUAAUACCCAAUGACGUCUCUAGAAGACAUCUGAAAGGGAUUAAAGAUUUAUCGGUGAUGGAUGGGGAUGCGUCUGAUUAGCUUGUUGGCGGGGUAACGGCCCACCAAGGCGACGAUCAGUAGGGGUUCUGAGAGGAGGGUCCCCCACAUUGGAACUGAGACACGGUCCAAACUCCUACGGGAGGCAGCAGUGAGGAAUAUUGGUCAAUGGGCGAGAGCCUGAACCAGCCAAGUAGCGUGCAGGAUGACGGCCCUAUGGGUUGUAAACUGCUUUUAUAAGGGAAUAAAGUGAGUCUCGUGAGACUUUUUGCAUGUACCUUAUGAAUAAGGACCGGCUAAUUCCGUGCCAGCAGCCGCGGUAAUACGGAAGGUCCGGGCGUUAUCCGGAUUUAUUGGGUUUAAAGGGAGCGUAGGCCGGAGAUUAAGCGUGUUGUGAAAUGUAGACGCUCAACGUCUGCACUGCAGCGCGAACUGGUUUCCUUGAGUACGCACAAAGUGGGCGGAAUUCGUGGUGUAGCGGUGAAAUGCUUAGAUAUCACGAAGAACUCCGAUUGCGAAGGCAGCUCACUGGAGCGCAACUGACGCUGAAGCUCGAAAGUGCGGGUAUCGAACAGGAUUAGAUACCCUGGUAGUCCGCACGG